UCAAUAUAAAUUGAUUAAUAUUUAUUUAUUAAUUAUAUUAUUGUUUUAUUUAAAUUAUUAAAAAUAAUUAUAUAAUGUAUUUGUUUUAGUAUUUUAUAAAGAAUAAAUAAUUUUAAUAAUAGUUUAUUAGUAUUGUGAAAGAAAAUUGAGAUAUUAUGAAAAAUUUUUAAUUUAAAAGAAAAUUUAAUUUAUUGUACCUUGUGUAUCAGGGUUUAUUAAUUAAAAAAUAAAUAUUUAUUUUUCUCGAUUUUAAAAGAGUUAAUAAUUUAUUAAAGUUAAUGUAUUAAAAUUAUUUUAAAUAAAUUAUUAGAAAUGAAAUGUUAUUCGUUUUUAAAGGUAUCUAGUUAUUUCAGAAAUAAAUUUAAUUUAGAAAUUUAAAAUUAUUUAAUUUAUUUUUUAAUUAAAUAAUUUUUGAGUUUUAAUAUUUUAUGGGAUAAGCUGUAAAAUAAAUUUUUAAAAAUAAUAAAUAAUAAAAUUAAAAUGUAUAUUUAAAAUUAGUAAUCAUUUUUAAGAUUGUUAUAAAUUAUUAUAAUUUAGGUAUUAUUUAUUAAAUUUUAAUUAUUUAUGAAAAUAUUUAUUUUAAUUUUUAAAAUAAAAUAAUAAUGAUAAAAUUAGUAUAUUUUUAUUGUAAAAAAAUAAUUUUAAAUGAAAAGUUUUAGUAAAGAAUUCGGCAAAUUUAUAUUCGCCCUGUUUAACAAAAACAUGUCUUUUAGUAAUUAAUUUAAAGUCUAACCUGCCCACUGAAUUUUUUUAAAUGGCCGCAGUAUACUAACUGUGCAAAGGUAGCAUAAUCAUUAGUCUUUUAAUUGAAGGCUGGUAUGAAUGGUUGGACGAAAUAUAAACUGUUUCAUUAAAAAUUUUUAUAAAACUUUAUUUUUUAGUUAAAAAGCUAAAAUUUAUUUAAAAGACGAGAAGACCCUAUAAAUCUUUAUAAAUGAUUUUAUUUUAAUUAUUUAGAUUAUUUUUGUUAUAAUUGAAUUAUUUAUUUUAUUGGGGUGAUAUUAAAAUUUAAAAAACUUUUAAUUUUAAAGAUCAUUAAUUUAUGACUAAUUGAUCCGUUAUUAACGAUUAAAAAUUUAAGUUACUUUAGGGAUAACAGCGUAAUUUUUUUGGAGAGUUCAUAUCGACAAAAAAGAUUGCGACCUCGAUGUUGGAUUAAGAGAUAAUUUUAGGUGUAGCCGCUUAAAUUUUAAGUCUGUUCGACUUUU
RNAcentral lists this ribosomal RNA (1208 nucleotides) under Silba adipata. Its description in RNAcentral is "partial 16S ribosomal RNA". Lineage: Eukaryota; Metazoa; Arthropoda; Insecta; Diptera; Lonchaeidae. The record is from RNAcentral.